RNAcentral lists this long non-coding RNA (24992 nucleotides) under Carica papaya (papaya). Its description in RNAcentral is "long non-coding RNA (CPAP_LNC007837)". Lineage: Eukaryota; Viridiplantae; Streptophyta; Magnoliopsida; Brassicales; Caricaceae. The record is from RNAcentral.
UAUAAGAAACUAAAAGAAAAAGGGGAGAGCUUUGAGAUUGUGUUAAUAUCUCUUGAUGAUGAGGAAGAAUCAUUCAAACAAGCUUUCGAAAGCAUGCCUUGGUUUUCCUUGCCCUUCAAGGACAAAUUAUGCAAUAAAUUAGUUCGGUAUUUUGAGCUCUCAACCAUUCCCACUUUAGUUAUUAUUGGGCCUGAUGGAAAGGCUGUUCAUUCCAAUGUUGCUGAGGUGAUUGAAGAGCAUGGAGCUAUUGCGUACCCUUUUACCCCAGAAAAGUUUGCAGAGCUUUCAGAGAUAGAGAAAGCAAAGCAGGCCGCUCAAACACUAGAGUCGGUUUUGGUUUCAGGUGAUCUAGACUAUGUCAUUGAUAAAGAAGGAACUAAGGUAAAAUUCUCUUGCCUGUUCUUUAAUGCUACCAAGUGUUUAGUAGCCUAAUAGCCCAAAUAUGCACUCUCUUAUCCAAUUAAUUUGGCAUUGGUUGUUCUAUUUAUAUAUUUUCAGAUUCCCGUGUCUGCUUUGGUGGGAAAGAACAUGCUAUUGUACUUCUCAGCCCAUUGGUGCCCUCCAUGCCGUGCUUUUUUGCCAAAACUCAUUGAAGCAUACCACAAAAUUAAGGAGAAAGAUGAAGAAUUUGAAGUAAUUUUCAUCUCUAGUGACAGAGAUCAAUCCUCAUUCGAUGAGUUCUUUAGACGCAUGCCUUGGCUUGCACUUCCCUUUGGUGAUGCAAGGAAAGCAUCCUUGAGUCGUACAUUCAAGGUUGUCGGUAUCCCUAUGCUUGUUGCCCUUGGACGAACUGGUCGAACUGUUACGAAAGAAGCUAGAGAUCUAAUUACGAUGCAUGGGGCUUAUGCUUAUCCAUUCACUGNNNNNNNNNNNNNNNNNNNNNNNNNNNNNNNNNNNNNNNNNNNNNNNNNNNNNNNNNNNNNNNNNNNNNNNNNNNNNNNNNNNNNNNNNNNNNNNNNNNNNNNNNNNNNNNNNNNNNNNNNNNNNNNNNNNNNNNNNNNNNNNNNNNNNNNNNNNNNNNNNNNNNNNNNNNNNNNNUGAUGGAUGUGGGGAAACCGGGCAAUGUAUGGUCAUUCAACUGUGACGAGUGUGACUUUGAUCUUCAUCCGAAGUGUGCGCUAGAGGAAGAUAAAGGAAGCAAAGAUGAGACAGAGCAGGAGGGUACUACCAAAGAAGGUUGGGAUAUGUGAUGGAGAGGUAUGCACAAGAGCUUGAGGAACAUCUGUUUCUGAGUCUUCGGCUUGAGAUACUCCGUUUGGUAAGUGGUUCUGGUUCUGCCUUGUGCCUUUGGGGUGUUGGUUAUGUAAUAACAUUUCCAUGUCUGGAAAACUUGUGUUGGUAAGGUAUGCUUAACGUCGUAUAAAUUAUAUUUUGCUUAACAACUGUAUUAUUACAUGAAUAAUGUGGAUUAGUCUUGUCAAGUGUGCCAACCAAGGUAUUUAUCAUAGAAUUAGUCCUUUGUUAUAUGUAUUUUAUAUAUUUUCUCUUCUCAGUUUCCCUAUCCUCCCACUCUAAAUCUUCUACUUGGUCUCAAAUCAGUUCAUUCUCCAUAUUUUUUAUUACUCGUGCACUUAUCCCUCUUUCUCUUACCAUUAUAAUUUAUUCAUCUGGAACCCCGUCACACAGCUCCCUACUUCACCACACUCUCAAACAUAAUAUACAGAAUAUUUCAGUAUUCAAAUAAACAUUAUAAGUAGCCCAUGAUCAAGCAAUUUAUACUAAUAGCAACAUGCCCAAAAAAUAGUAAUCAAUUAAUACCAUCAUAUUUCAUGCAAUUACAUGCAUGCACACCACAAUUCGAUCAUCACAUUAUACGCAGAGCAUCCUGCUGCAAAAACCACUCCCUAUUCAUACACCGACUAAUUUCUGACAGCCAUAUAAUCGCCCACAUACACACUUAUACACGAAAAAACAAAACAUGCAACUACGUUAUCAUAGUAUGACUGGUAUAUACAUAUAUAUAGACAUUUUUUCCGUCAACCACUUGGUUCCAAUCGUCCUAUUAGUCAUCCUCACACUCUCUCCAAGAGCUAUAAUUCUAUAUUUAAUCCCAUUCAACUCUACGGUUACCGUUGGACUCUUUACGAUUUUAUCUAAUCUACCAGUCAAUUUUCUUUUCUCCAGUUGGUUACCUGUCACUCAGUUCCUGCAGUUCAUACCCAACAUCGCUUCACAUUUUAUAAUCUCUCACUAUCAUAAUUCUAAUAUAAUUAUGUGAGCACUAGUAUACUGCUAAUCCUCUCCAACCCGACUCUCUUCUCCAGUUUAAACUGUAACGACCAGGGAAUAAUAAUUUGAGUGGUCUAGAUCUCACCUUUCUUUAGACAAUUGAGAUCUUCCCAUCCCAUAAUAUAUAAAGAAGCUUCAUUUAUUAAAAAAAAUGAGGAAAUGAAAAUAGAACCCUAAAAUGACAAGAUCGAUGGUAGGAGAGAGAGGAAAGAGGAAGGGUUGCUAGAACCGAACCAGAGAAAGGAAGAAUACAUAAGCAGGGGAGGCAGCAGAAGUCCAAAGACCGAAAAUUGAUAUGGCACAUAAAAAGCGGUCGCAACGAGCUGUGAGUCUAGCUUAGGGGACAGAGACGAUUGUACCUUGAUUCAUUUGUAUCACUCUAUGCCAAAGAGGUAAGGAUUAUUUGCCUCCUUAAUCUAUCUCAGUAAUUAGCACACUUAGAAAUUUAAAGUUCUUAAAUGAUUAUUUCCAUUUCGAUCCAGAGUGAGUAGGAAAUCUAAUUUAAUGUCUUCUGUCAUCUCUCAAUGCACUGAUAUCAGUGUCAUAAACCAUGAUCUUCUAUAAUCAGAGUCGGUUUACAUUGGGGCAUAUCAGCACUUACAGUAGAACUUAGGAGAUUGAUGGACUAGGAGAGUGAACACCGGAUGAGUAGUAAAUUAGGAUGGGAGGUAGAGAAUUAGAGGUGAAACCGUAGUAGUUUACGGUGCUCAGUCGUUGGUGGAGCAAAUUUUGAGAAAUGGGCUCUUGGUCUCCAUUUAAGUAAUUUGCAGGAAAUUAAGAAACUCAUAGGAGUUAAGGAGAGAACGCCCUCAGCAUUCUGGAUGUUGUACCCAAAAUUUAAGAAUGUCUAUUAAACUUUUACAUUGGAAAAAAAAAACAGACAAAUAACCUAGAAAAGGAUUCUGGUAAAUCGUAGUGCUUAAGUCAUAACAAAAUAUAACGACAAAAAAAAUAACUGAGUUUAUAUUAGUUUGGGAAGGGUAGAAAUAACCUGCAAAAUGGGGUAGAAAUUUAAGAGAAUAGAAUAAGAGAAUCUGGGCACCGGUUAGAAGUUUUGGAAAAAAAUCUCAAUAAAGAUUAGAUAAAUACAGUUGUAGAGAAAACCACAAUAAGGGUUUUGGGAUUUGUGACAUCCUGGGUGUCAAUUAAGACAAAUGGUGUUAGAUACAGAUUCAUAAUAACGAGUACAUGAUAAUAUUUAUGCAGUAGAAUCAAAUCUUAACAAAUUCCUUAUAAAUAUAUAUAUAAUGUUCUAAAUACAUAUAUCACUGAGGGCAGAAGUGACUACAAAACACUUCUUUUACUAUGCUACUGGAAUUCAUUAGAGUGCGGGAAGAGUCAUGCACUUAGACUUGUAGAUCCACGGGAUCCUCAGAGGCUUUCAAGGGUAGGUCUGUUUGUAGUUCCUCAUUUUCUUCCUCAUCGUGGGUGGUGGGGGGGGAGGGGGGAGGGAAGGGGGAGGGGAGGAUGGAAAGAGUGAGUUAUAUAUACUCAGUAUAGAAAACAGUAUUAAAUUAAUAUCGUAAGAUUUCAAAAGUUUAUUAUUUUAUCUUACUGUUUAGCUUCCUCGUUUACUUAACUCAUCAUUAUGAAAAUCAUUUAUUUAAAUACGAAAAUGGUACGUUAGUUCAGAAAAUCAAAUAUAUAUAGAUCAUGCCCAAAUAAUAGAGAAACAGAUACUCUUCAGAGAUAAAAAGUCUAACAAGACACUUGAUACAAUAUGAAUAUCAAUACAGAUACGCUUUGGAUCAUGCAUGUUUAAUUUUACUUUUUCUUUUUUUUUUCUUUUUUUUUUUUUUACUGUUAGGGUUAUAUACUAUAUAUAUUACAUGCAAAUUCAUCAAGUGUUAGUAAUUCACACAGCAUGCUUGAAAAUCAGAACAAUUCGAUUAAUUUGAACACAGAGGCAUACAAAACAGGGAGAAUAACAAUCAUAUUAACUUUACUUAUUUAAAAAUAUUUUUUAAGACGUUGAAAAUAAUACUAAAUUCCUUACCGAAACCUCGAUAUUUUCUUCUUCAUUGUUUUCAUUUCUUUCUCUUCUUCUCUCACUAAUUUACUAUAUAUAUAUAUAUAUAUAUCUAAAUCUUUAAAAAUAAAAGAAAUGGAAGUGUGGAGAGGAAGGGAAGGGGAAGGAUAAUUUAUAGAAUUUCGGAACCAUUGGAUUCGCACCAAGUGGCAAAAUCCAGUAAAGAGAGAGGAGAAAAAUAUUCUUGGCAUGAAAAACGAAGGAGGAAGACUUCUUCCAUCAGCGGCGGUGCACUACCCGAGGUGGCAGUGCCCAGUCGGCACGCUGUAGGCCUGCUGCCGUGCGUGCAGGGCUUAGGCGCACAAGGCGCCACGCGUGCAGGUCUCAGGCACAUAGGGCCUGUCCACGCAAGCCUAUUGCCAGGAUGGCACGGGCACAGUGUGUGGCAGCAGUCCGUGCACAAAGUGGUGUGUGGACGGCCCGCCUGCGCACGAGAGGACAUGCGCGCAGGUUCUGCCCCGUGUCGUGCAUGCUGAUGGGACGUGCGUGCUAUGCGCACAGAGGGGACGUACACGCUAGCAUGCGGAUGGGACGUGCGUGCUGUGUGCAUACCCUGCGACCAUUGUGCAUGCAAGCUCACGCGCACAGUGCCCAGCACCCCCAUGGGCAAACUGACUUUUUGCGAGAUUUUUUCCACGAGCAGGUUUUUUCCUGUUUUGCCAUUUUAUGAUUUUUUUCUAAAUUUUCUUUUUAAUUUAAACCAAAAUAGAAUAAUUUUAAAAUAUAUAAAAUAAUAAAAUAAAAAUUAAUAAAAAUAAAUCAAAAUUACGAAUCACGAAAAAUAUUGAACAACGUAAAUUAAUUAAGUAUAAGACGGUCAUAUAUCCAAAUAAAUAGGGUUUUCAAAUCAUUUUAGCACAGUGAUGGACAGGGUGUUACAUCCCUCCCACUUAAAAAGACUUGAUCCCUAAAUUUGUCUCGAAUAAGUUUGGAUAAUUUUCCUCAUUUUAUCCUCCAACUCCCACGUUGCUUCUUCCGUAGUGUGAUGCUGCUAAUGUACUUUCACCAUGGGAAUCGUCUUGUUAUGUAAGACCUUAUCAAUGCACCCAAGAAUUUUCAUAGUAACCUCUUUAUAGGUCAUAUCAGCAUGUACCUAUACCUCAUCAUGAGGAAUAACAUGAUAAGGAUCAGGGUGGUACCUCUUGAGUAUCGAGACAUGAAAGACAUCAUACAAACCCGCGAACUCCUAGGAUAGAGUGAAGUAGUAAGCAACAGGUUCAAUAUGCUCGAUGAUCGAAAAAUGUCCCACAUAACGAAGGCUCAACUUCCCUCUAGUUCUAAACUGCAUCUUGCCUUUGUAGGGUAGACUUUUAGGAAGACUUGAUCUCCCACUACAAACUCUAAGGGUCGCUUAUGAUUAUCAGUGUAGCUCUUUUGGUGACUUUGGAAAUUAUUAAAUUCUUACAGAUGAUUGCGACCUUCUCUAUGGUCUCUUGAAUUAAGUUUAGUCCUAAGUAGCACUAGUUCCCGACUUUACCCUAGCAAGUAGGAGAACGACAAGGUCUUCCAUACAAAGCUUCAUACGAGGUCAUACCGGUGCUGGAAUGGUAACUCUUAUUAUUGUUGGCUUAAAAAUAAAGUAGAAGACUAUUAAGAGUAUAAAUUAAGAUGAGAAAGGAGUCUGAUCUUCAUUCACUUUUAGUAAUUGAUUUUUAAUCAUUUUCUACAUGACCCCUUAAUUCAAAAUCACAUAUGCCUAAUUAUCGUCGAAAAUAGUCAUGUUUGAGCUGAGGUAAAGACUUUAUAAAUAAGUGAGCAACUUGAUCAUUUGUACCAUAAAAUUCCAGUACUAUUUCUCCAUUUGUUACCAGUCUCCGAAUGAAAUGAUGCCACGUUUCUAUAUGCUUCGUUAUGCCAUGGAAAACUGGAUUUUUUGUCAUUGCAAUCGUACCUUUAUUGUUAAAAAGAAAUGGUAGUUGCUGCUAGUUGUUCUUGGCCCAAAUCAACAAGAAUUCUUCUAAGCCAUACUGCUUGACAAGCUGAUGAUGUUGCAGCAAUGUAUUCAACCUCUGAAGAUGAUAAUGCCGCAGUAUCCUGCUUUUUUGAGCUCCAAGAGAUAGCUCCAGAACCUAGGCUAAAACUAUAGCCUGAUGUACUUCUUAUAUCAUCCAAAGAACCUGCCCAAUCACUAUCGGUAUAAUAAAAUAAUUUAAAAUCUGAUAUUUUAGAGUACCGAAUUCCAAAGUUAGCAGUUCCAGCAACAUAUCACAGGAUUCUUUUAGCUGCUCCAAGGUGAUAUUUUGUUGGAUUGUGCAUAAACCUGGACAAAAUACUAACAAAAAAUGCAAUGUCGGAUUGAGUGUGUGUCAAAUAAUUUAACCCACCUGUCAAUUUUUGAAAAUAGGUUACAUUAGCCUUUCCUGUGUCAUCUUCAGGUUGCUAUUUUUCAUUUGAAUUCAUUGGAGCAGAAGUUUUGUUGCAGCUCACCAUGUUGAACCUAUUGAAUAGAUUAAUUGCAUACUUUUGCUGCAUAAUAAAAAUUCCAUCUACUCUCUAUUUCAUCUCAAGCCCAAGAAAAUAUUGCAACACGCUCAAAUAUGUCAUUUCAAAUUUUUGCAUCAUAGAGGACAUAAAAUCAACAAAAAGACAUUCACUUGACCUGAAAUAAAUCAUGUCAUCAACAUAGAGACAUAUAACAAGAAAAUCAGCUUUUUCUUCUUUCUUUGAAUAUAAAGUGGGCUCAUUAUCACUUCUUUCAAACUCAUUUUCACGAAAAUAGUUGUCAAUCUUACUAUACCAUACUCGCAGAGCUUGCUUAACCUAUUUUUGAAAAUAGGUUACAUUAGCCUUUCCUGUGUCAUCUUCAACUUACUAUUUUUCAUUUGAAUUCAUUGGAGCAAAAGUUUUGUUUCAGCUCACCAUGUUGAACCUGUUGAGUAGAUUAAUUGCAUACUUUUGCUGCAUAAUAAAAAUUCCAUCUACUUCCUGUUUCAUCUCAAGGCCAAGAAAAUAUUGCAACACGUUCAAAUAUGUCAUUUCAAAUUUUUGCAUCAUAGAGGACUUAAAAUCAACAAAAAGACAUUCACUUGACCCGAAAUAAAUCAUGUCAUCAACAUAGAGACAUAUAACAAGAAAAUCAGCUUUUUCUUCUUUCUUUGAAUAUAAAAUGGGCUCAUUAUCACUUCUUUCAAACUCAUUUUCACGAAAAUAGUUGUCAAUCUUAUUAUACCAUGCUCGCAGAGCUUGCUUAAGCCAAUACAAUGCUUUCUUUAGAUUAAAGACUUUAUUUUCAUAGCUGGCUACAACAAAGCCUUCAGGUUGAGAAACAUAAACUUCUACUUUCAAGUUUUCAUUUAAAAAAGCAGAUUUCACAUCAAACUAAAAAAUAGGAAGAGAUAAAUGAGCAGCUAAAGCAAGCAAUACCCUUAUUGUUUCAAAGUGAGCAACCGGUGAGAAUAUUUCUUCAAAAUCAACGCCUUGUUGCUGAGCAUAUCCCUUUUCUACAAGUCGAGCUUUUUGCUUUUAUAUACUUCCAUCCACUUGGUACUUAGUUUUAAACACCCAUUUAAGUCCGAUAACGUGUUUUCCUUUAGGUAAAUCAACCAAUUCCCAGGUCUGAUUUUUUUGGAUUGCAGCAAUCUCUUCAUUCAUAGCAUUGCACCAUUCUUGUACUUGUGCAGCUUCAUCAUAAAAUUCUGGAUCUAAAACACACAAAAUAAAAGAAACAGAUGCAUAAAUUUCCCUCAAGGACCUGAAUUUCCUGGGAGGAGUUUCACUUGAUGAGGAGGAGUUAGAGUUGACUGGACUUAAGGAAAUUGAGCUGACUGGACUUGAAGAAUUUGAGUUGACUGUGGGAGAUGAACUUGCUGAAUUUGAAGAUGAAGAAUCAACAACAAUAUCUUCUACAAUUGGCAUUUGAUCAUGUUUUUGAACACUUCCCCAAUCCCAUUCUACUUCCUCAUUAAAGACUACAUUUCUGCUAAUAAUAAUUUUGCCACUUAAAUGGUUGUAUAGCCUAUAUGCUUUUGAUUGAGAGCUAUACCACAAAAUAUAUUUUGUAGUUUUCUCAUCAAGUUUACAGCAAAUUUGAGAAUUAAUUAAAGCAUAGGCUAUCCAACCAAAAAAUUUUAAGUGACUUACAUGUGGUUUCCUUCCAUUCCAUGCUUCAUAUGGAGUUUUGUUCAUAACAACCCUUGUUGGAGAGAUAUUCAAAAUAUAUACUAUUGCUAUAACUACUUCAACCCAAAAGGAAUUUGAGAGACCUUUGGCUUUUAACAAACUUCUAGCCAUGUUCACCACAGUUCGAUUCUUCUGUUCAACAACACCAUUUUGCUAUGAUGUAUAUGGUGCAGUAAGCUGUCUGCGAAUGUCACAUUCUUCACAAAAAAUAUUAAAUUCAGUAGAAAUAAACUCACCUCCUCUGUCAGUAUGAAGACACUUGAUGCGACUGCCAAUAUGAUUUUCUACCAAGGCCUUAAAUUUUAUGAAACUAACAAGAGCUUCAGACUUAGAUCUAAGAAAGUAAACCUAAUUCAUACGGCUGUAAUCAUCAAUCAACAAUAAAAAAUACCGACUCCCACCAAAUGAGUCGGUAUUCAUUGGUCCACAUAAAUCCGCAUGCAUCAAUUAAGACAAAUGAGUAUCAAAUACAGAUUUAGAAUAAUGAGUGUAUGAUAAUAUUUAUGCAGCAAAAUUAAAUCUUAACAAAUCCCUUAGAAAUAUAUAUAUAAUGUUCUAAAUACAUACAUCGUUGAGACCAGAAGUGGGUACAAAAUAUAAAACAUAAGGGCCACUUCUUUCACUAUGCUACUGGAAUUCAUAAGAGUGCGAGAACAGUCAUGCACUCAGACUUAUGGAUCCACGAGAUCCUCAUAGACUUCCAAGGGUAGGUCUAUUUGCAGUUCAUCAUUUUAUUCCUCAUCUGGGGGGAAUGAAAAGAGUGAGUUCCAUAUGCUCAGUAAGAAAAAUAAUAUUAAAUUAACAUCGUGAGAUUUCAAAAGUUUAUUAUUUUAUGUUACCAUUUAGCUUCCUCGUUCACCUAACUCAUCAUUAUGAAAACUACUUAUUUGAAUAUGAAAAUAGUAUGUUAGCUCAGAAAAUUAAAUAUAUAUAUCAUGCUAAAUAAUAGAGAAAAUCAAAUAAAUUAUGGUAUGCACAGAUUUUUCGUGUGUUUUACGAAAUCGUUACAAACUUCCAUCUCUGAGAGCAGAUACAGAUUUCUAACUACCCAAGCAGAAUGACCAGAUCAGAUACAGAUACGACAAUUUGCUCAGGCCUACUUCCUGCUGGCCAAACCAUAGUGCGAUCUAUGACCACGGCCGUCCCAAUCAUAAUGACCCUAACAGAUAUUUAUAGUCACGAGAUUACUUAACCAUAGGUGACUCCUACAGAUAGUGCGAUACCACUAUCGUUAGAGAGCACACCAUUAUCCACUGGGAGCGGUUCUCUUAUGUCUUUAUAGAUAAGAUAGGGGAGGGAGAAACAGAUACCCCAAAGAGAAAGGGGAACAGAUAUCCCUCAAAGAUAAAAAACUUAACGAGACACUUGAUGUAAUAUGCAUGUCAAUACAUAUAUGCUUCGGACCAUACAAGCUUCAUUCCACUUUUCUCAUUUUUUUUCUUUUUACUUUUACUAUUACGGCUACAUAUUACAUAUAUUACAUACAAAUUCAUCAAGUGUCACUAAUUCACACAACAUACUUGAAAAUUAGAAUAAUUCAACUCAUUUGAACACGGAGGCAUACAAAACAGACAAAAUAACAAUCAUAUUAAGUUUACUUAUCUAACAAUAGUCCUUAAGACGUCAAAAGCAAUACUAGACUCCUUACCCAAAUCUCGAUAUUUUCUUCUUCACCAUUUUCCUUUCUUUUGCUUCUUCUCUUACAAUUUACUAUCUCUCUCUCUCUCUCUUUAAACCUUUGAAAAAUGGAAGAAAUGGAAGUGUAGAGAGGAAAGGAAGGAGAAGGGCAAUUUAUAGAAGUUUGAAAGCAUUGGAUUCGCGCCAAAUGGAAAAAUCUGAUGAAGAGAGAGGAGAAAAAAGAUUAUUGGCACGAAAACGAGGGAAGAAGAUUUCCUCCACCGGCGGCGGCGGUGCACUGCCCAAGGCAGCGGCAACGCACUACCUGAGGUGGCAGUGCCCAGCGGGCGCGCUGCAGACGCACAGGCCUGUUGCCGUGCGUGCAAGCCUUAGAUGCACAAGGCCUGUCCGCGCAGGCAUCCUACGCAGACAGUGCUCGCACAGUUUGCGUUGUCAGUCCGUGUGCGAAGUGACGCACAGAUGGCCCACCUGCGCGCGAUAGGAUGCACGCGCAGGUUCUAACCUCGUGCCGUGCACGCAGAUGGGACGUGCACGCUGCAUGAACGUCCCGUGCAUGCGUGCGUGCGGACGGGACGUGUGCGCUGUGUGUACGCUUUGUGGCCACUAUAUGAGCAAAUGCACUUGCACAGUGCCCAACACCCGCGCGUGCAAACUUCCUUCUCGCAGGAUUUUUCCUGCGAGCAAGUUCUCUCUCGUUUCGCCAUUUUUCAAUUUUUUUUCUAAAUUUUCUUUUUAAUUUAAACAAAAUAGAAUAAUUUUAAAAUACAUAAGAUAAUAAAUUAAAAUUUAAAUAAAAAUCUAUAAAAAUAAAUUAAAAUCAUGAAUCAUGAGAAAUAUUAAACAACGUAAAUUAAUUAAGUUUAAGGCGGCCAAAGAUCCGAAUAAAUAGAGUUUUUAAUUCAUUUUAACAUAGUGAUAGGCAGGGUGUUACAGAAUACGUACAAGGUCCUGAAAAUUCUACAACAGAAAUAAAAAUUAGAGACAAAGGAGAAUAAUAGAAUAUAUAUAUAUACUGGUGUAUACAGAGGGGGUAAUUGCAGAAAUGGAGGUUUGUCAUUAUGGGAGGGAAGUUGGACAUCAUAAGUGAAACAAUUUAGUUACAACAAGAGAAACAGAAUAAAAAAGGAAUAGGGAAGUAUAUUUGUGAUUAAAGAGCAGAAUAAAUGAUAAUAGAAUAUGGUUAAAGAGGAAGAGUAGAAGAAAAAGGGGCUGUGAUUUUUUUUGAAAUAUAUUACGAAUUAUAAAGCCGAUGUAUAUACCGUUCAACAAGUUAUCAUUGAGGGAGGGGUGUGUGGAUGGCCGAAAUGAUAGUCGGAUUGAGUUGGGUACUCCUUAUAUAUGUGACGAACUAAUGGUUGGUGGUAAUAUGCAUCAUAUGAGUUAUGGUAAAUGGUAUGAGUGCUAGUACAUGUUUUAAGUCCCUUUGUACUAGAAAUGGUAUAAUNNNNNNNNNNNNNNNNNNNNNNNNNNNNNNNNNNNNNNNNNNNNNNNNNNNNNNNNNNNNNNNNNNNNNNNNNNNNNNNNNNNNNNNNNNNNNNNNNNNNNNNNNNNNNNNNNNNNNNNNNNNUCUGAAUUAUAUAGAAAUGAACACUAUAUAGCUCAUGUUAAAGAACUGGAAAGGGUAGGAACCAUAUUGGUUACGAUAUAGAGAAAAGUAGUAAAUAAUUCUUAUAGAGUUGCGAACUCGCCUCAUUUAUAUUUUUUUUACAGAAUAGAAAAAUCAACCUCCAAACCAGAUUCAGAUCACGCAGGAACCGGACACUUAAAACAUGAAAAUUGCUAAUGAUCACUAGUUAGAGUUAAGACUAAUUUACGCAUGUUAAAGAUUACUUUUAUUCAUUUUGAUGUAUUUCUUAAUUUCCUAUGAGCUUAUGAAUAAAUUUUGAAAUUUAAGAAAAAUGACAUUUUGUGAAUAAAGAUAAAUAUGCAUGAUGGAAUUUUGUAGAAUGCUUUGAUAUGGGUUGAUCCCUUGUUCUAUAUAGAGAUUGGGAACAUUAUAGAUGAUAUGAAAAUUUAGUAAAUUCGAGAAAACAUACGAAAUACUAGGUGUACGAUUUGUGUUGAUUCAAGUUGACCCCCUUAUUUCCUACUAAGAAAUUGGGAAUGUCACAUAAACCCCCAGUAUUUCUAUUCAGUCCGCAUAUUUUUCUUCCCAACCUUCACAAUUACGACCAAUAUUUAUCCACCGCCCAUCAUCUGCUCUAUCUUACUUCAAUAUUUAAUUCGCAUAAUAUUUCACCUCAUCAAAUUAGUUUUUACGCAAUAUACAACAUGAAUCUCACAAACACCACAUUUCACAAUAUAAGACAUUUAUUCACAUUUAUUAUGAAUCUAGGUUUUCAAGAGCAAAUUGACCUUACCUCUUUAUUCCCGAGUGGUGGCUAUGGUGCGUCGGUGAGUCUCUCGUCGUUCGCCCUUUGGUUGGCAUUGGAAAUGACAAUUUCCUUUUCUUUCUUUGAUCAACCACCAACAAUUCGAGUUCUUCUUCCUCUCCUCUCUCUUCCUCUACUGCUCUCUAUUGCGGCUAGGGUUUCCUCUCUUUUCUCCUUCAAAUGGUUGAGAAGAGAAAGCUUUUAUAGGGGUUUUCGGAACCGUUUGAUGUCAAGAACAAAUUUGGACUGUUGGCUCCCUUGUUUCUUUCUAAAUUCCUAGAUUUUCCUUCUUUUUUUAAAAUCUUUACCAACUAACCCUUACUUUAUUUCCCUAUUGCCCCUCUUCUUCCAAAACCUUUGCGAUUAGAUCCUUUCUCUCAAUAUUUUGCAAUAUUUAAAAAAAUUGUUUCUACUGAAUUUUUACAAAACUACCCCUAGGGUUCACAAUUGGAUCUUUGGAAUGUUACAUACAGAGACUAUUUUAAUAAAAAAAUUAAGACAAACUAAUUUGAAAAUAAAAUUAAUAAUAUAAUAAUCAAAUUAUUUUUUUAAUUUUUUUUAAUUUACAUUUACGAAAAGAGAUGAAAAAAUUAAUUAAAGAAAAUUUAAGUUAUAUUUAUAUAUUUUAUCAAUUACAUGGUAAAUAUAUAAGAACAAUAUCAUAAUUAAUAAUAACAUAACUUGUUAAUAAAAUAUUAAAAACUUAGCAAAAAAAUAAUUGAUAAUUUGAUAUAUUAAGUAAAAAAAAAUAUUUAAUAUUAUUUCUAAGAAAAAUCCAAUAUUUUUUAAUUAAGAAAUGUAAAACUAUAAAUAUAUUUCAUAUAAUUUUGAUAUAUUUAUUUCUUUCUCGUAUGCGAAUCUUGACUGCCAAGCAAAUUGCUUUUCUAAUAUUUUUACCAUUCACCAAUUGGUUAAAAAAGAGAGAUUUGUGAUAAGACUGAGAAAAUGAAAUUUUAAUUUUAUGUUUUUUUUAAUAAAAAAAUCAGUUUUUUUUAACAAUUAAUUUCCUAUUCACUUUAUUUGCAAAUGAAACAAAAUGUUAGUAGUAAAAAAAUGCCUAACUUAUAAAAAAAUCAAUUUAUUUUUUGUAGUUGUAAUACUCGGACUCGAAAAUCGGUUCAAGAUAAUUUUUCUAAUUAAUUUAUUUAUAAAAUAAUUAUUUAAUUUAUUAUAUUUAAGUUUUUAUUGAAUUUUUGAGAAAAAUAAAUUAAAGACGAAAAUUAAAGACAAUUUUGGAGAAAAGUGGUGAAAUUUUGAAUUCAUGGGGUGUUUUUAAAAGAAAAAUUGAAAACAAUGGUCAAAAUACAAAUAAAAGAAAUUCGGCAACAUGGAACAGCCCAAUCAGCAACCACGGUGAACCAGGGCACGCUGACGUCGAUGCCACAUGGGGGGCUACGCGGGCGAUCUACAAAUAAAAGAAAUUCGGCAACAUGGGAUAGCCCAAUCAGCAACCACGGUGAACCAGGGCAUGCUGACGUCGAUGCCACGUGGGGGGCUAUGCGGGCGAUCUGCGUGCCUAGCAAUCCGACAGUCUAGGAUUGAUCCCACACAUGUGGAUGCUCUAGAUGCAUUCCCCUUUGAAGCUUGAUCGGAUGGACGAGAUCAAAUGCGAUGAAUGAACGAGAUUCGGCCACGCCAUAAGCCUAAACGAAAAACGAUUGAACAAUUCUCAUCGCUCCACAUCAACGUAAACAAACGACACAGAUUGAAGAGGAGAUGAGUAUUUACAAUCCUAUUCGCAGGAGAACCCAAACCCUAGCCGCUAGCCACUUUCGGAGAAGAAGAGCCAGACGCUUUAGAAAAAGGUCGACUUCGGACCGCCACCGCACCGGAACAACCACUAAUUGUCAAAAAAUGUAAAAUUUCUCCAUACCCGUUCGGAAUUCAAUUCUGAGCCUCUCUGUGCCAUAUUGGAGCAAAAGGGACGGCAGGUGAGCCGAAAAUUACGGGCAGAGCCGCUGCAGCUAAAACUCUAAAAUUCCUCUGAUGAGCCCCUUCCCGUUUUCCGUUUUCCGUUUCACGCGAUCCUUUGACCAUUGUGUUCGCCAUUCCAUUAUAUACAGGUUAGCUAGAGAAGAAUCCCCACCUGCGAAGGAGAACUGGUGGAGCCACCGCACCCGGGGAUCCCCGCCAGUAGUUCAAUUUUUCAAUUUUCUAGCCAACUAAGGCUUCUUAAUGUACUUUUUGCAGGAAUACGUGUAAAACUUGCCAAAAUCGGUCAAAACUGGCAAAAUCUGCAAGCCAAGGUGAACCGCUGCCGUGGGCAGCGGAGCCAGCGUUGGAGCACGGCGACAUUGUCGUGCCAGAAACCUAAAAUUGUUUGGAAAGAGUUUUCAACACCGAUUUUGGAUUUUUUGAGUAUUUUUAUGUAUGUGACAAGUAUUUUGGGUUCCCGCAGAAAAAAUUCAAGAAACUCAGAAACCGUUAGGAGGCGUAAUAGACAGUUCGACAUUUCGAAACACUGAUCCGGAUAAGGAUCACUCAUCCUAUUCUCGGUUACGGUAAAUUAAAGAUUAAUAAUCAAUAAUUAUAUUUUUUAUAAAAAAUUAGAAAAAUUCUAAAAAUAUUACAGGUCACUAGUGGAGCUGGAACCGGUUAGUUCACAUUUGUCCUGAUUUCUUGUUUAUUUUCCUAUACUGCUUAAACUACUUACUAUUAUACUGUGCAUAUUUACAUUGAUAGUUUUUAUACUCUUCUCGAUUAUCUGGGUUAUUUGGUCCAUUCCAGCAUGAUUUAUCUGGUUAUCUGGUUACUCGGUUAUUAAUUAUGAUAAAUUAAAUCGCUUGCUUAAAUACCGUUUAAAUUGAUCAGUAAAUAUAACAUGAGACGUUGGUCUACUUUUGUGGCUGUUUGGAGAAUUAAAAUAAACUAAAGCUUACUGGGCAUCCUGAGAAAGGGUGGAUGGACUCGGUACAUAGAGAACCCUACCGUGGACAUUAUCUCAGUCAGACAGGGCUGAGAGGUCCCAAAUUGUAAGGGUUUUAAGAGAUUUUCUUCACCAUUAUACCAGACGGGGUAUCGAGGUGAUGGUGUUUUUGGUGCCUAUUAUUGGACGAGGUAUGGGGACGACCAAAUUAAUUGUCAAUUCUUGAUCCUAGAUCCACGAGUGAAGGGAUAUCCCUAUUGACCCCCAGGAGUCCCAGUAAAUAGGUUAAAAAUGAAGAAUUGUGAUCCCAUGAAUAAAAUUAAAAUGUCAUUUAGUUAUUUGUCUUCAUAGGUUGAUUUUAGAAAAAUCAUAAAAGUAACUAUCAAAUAAAAAAUUUUAAAAUUAAAUGUACUUACAUAAAGUAAGGGCUCCAUUAGUUAUUUUAUGAUUUUUAUCAACUUUCAGUUUUUUCGUAUUUGUUAUUAGUGUUAUAUUCUUAUUAGGCUAGUGUAGCUCACCCUUUUAUUAACCAUUUUAGAUCAAGAAGAGCAAGAUCCAUAUCCCAAUCAGCAAAAGAGUUGUGAGUAGUUCACCUCUCAUACUCCCUUCAAGUGCUAGUGAAUGUUGUCCUAAAAUACUUAUUUAUUCACGUUUUUUUUAAUUACUGUUUGUCUUUUAAAAGAGACAUUCUGUAGUCCUAUUGAGAAAUCUAAAUUAUUAUUUAAGGAAUGUAAACCCUAACUUUAUUAUUUACUUCCGUAUUUAAAUUAUAAAUUCAUUUUUAUUUAAGUUUUUAGCUUUUACAGUUAGUAUUAGAGCCGCAUUCCUCGGAACCAUUCCUUAUACAAAGACCUAAAAAUACUAAAUACAAACUAUCACUCAAUCAUUUCUUGUGAAAUGUAGGUACAAGGGUAUGAGGAGAUAAAGACCCCCACUAAACCGAGCAGUCCGGGAUGGUUCGCUUCGAGAAGAUAUUGACUAACUCUUUGAGAUGUUGGAGAGACUCAUCUCUACCCAGCAGACCCAAGAAGAAAGGAGGGAACAACCUGACCUUCCCUCGCUGCCAUAAUUUGAGCCACCCUUGCAGCGAGAAUAUCCAGAGCCACCCCAGUACAACCUAGCUCCUCUACCGUAUCAUCCGGCACCGCCACAAUAUAAUCUAGUACCCCCACUGUAUCAUCUGGCACAGCCAUAAGACCGCUCAAUCUCUCUACAACACAAUUUAGUCCUUCUUCCACGGGACCUAGUUCCACUCAUGAUGGACCCAGAUUAUAUUGAGAGGUACAAAAGACUAAAUACAUCUAACUUUGUAGGGGCAUCCUCUUUCGAAGAGGUCAAGUAUUUGUUAGUUGAGAUAGAGAGUCGUACUUGCCACCUACAUGCUCAUGAGAGAGCCAGGUCGCUGGUGGCAGCUCAAACAGGCCACCCUGCCCAUUCUACUCACUUGAGAAUAGUUCCUGAUGAUCUUUAAUGCAGAGUACCUUCUAGAGCACUUCUGGCAUUUGAAGAAAAUAGAGUUUGCACACUUAGUUCAGAGUGAUAUGACUGUGUCGGAGUAUGCCCAAAGGUUCCUAGAGUUCUGCCAGUAUUCCCCUGAGAGCAUGAUGGAUGAAGGCAGGAAAACAAGGAAGUUCGAAUUGGGCCUCAGUCUUGAGAUCAGACAGUAACUAUAUGUAUUUUAGCUCAGUACCUACUCAGCCAUUCUGGCCAAGGCACAACUAAUGGAGAGGAACCUUCGUAUCUUUUCUCUAAUAGUGGAAAAUCCCAGACCCUUGGUCUCACACCGCAGACCAACACCUACUAUACCGGUUCAGUAGAAUAAGAGGCCUAGGGCAGUGACUCAGGCUCCUCUUCAGGGUCCGGUAACAGGACGCGGUAAGACUUGUCAGCACUGUGACAAGGAUCAUGGGGACCGACCCUAUUAUCAUCUCAACAAUACAUGCUGCAUAUGUGGAAGUGCCCAAUACUAUGCAAGAGAGUUCUCGCGAAAUCAGAAUCAGGCCAGACCUCCUAUUCAAGGCAGAGCUUAUAACCUCACUCAGUAGGAUGCUGAAGCUAACCCAAACGUGAUAUAGGGUACAUACACUAUUUGUAAUCACCUUACACAUAUUUUGAUUAAUAUCAGUGCUUCAUAUUUGUUUAUCUCACAUGCUUUUACACCAAACUUGAACGUAUUACCUAAAAAACUUAAUUAUGUGUUAUUGUAUCUAUUCCUAGGAGUAUGACACUACUAAAAGAGGUUAUAUACAAAUCUUGUCUCAUAAACAUAGCAGAUAGCAAAUUGAGUAUGGACUUAAUAGAUAUUGACACAAGGAACUUUGAUGUAAUUUUAAGAAUAAAUUGGUUAGUAGAGUAUCCCGCCACCAUAAAUUGUUUCCACAAAAAAUUUGUAUUCAACCCUCUUAACGAAUAGUUAUUUACAAGUUAAUAAACAAUUUAAAACACUAUUCCUUAGUAAUAAUUUUCUUAUUACAUAGUGCUUUAACUCGGUUGUCUUUUCUACAGUAUACUGACCUAAGAAAGAAGUUUGUAUUCAAGAGAUCUUGGUAGACCGAGACUUUUCGGAUGUGUUUUCUGAUGAACUUCUUGGAUUUUCAGUAGACAAAGAAGUUGAGUUCACCAUAGAUCUUCAGCUUGACACCUACCCUAUCUCGGUUGCCCAUUACUACAUGACUCGUGUUGAGAUGGAAGAGAUGAGGAAAUAGAUCAAUGAAUUGCACCAUAAUGGGUUCAUCCAACAUAGUUUGUCUCUUUGAGGUGCUGGAGUCACAUUUGCAAGGAAAGAGGAUGAGAUGUUAAGAUUAUGUAUUGACUAUAGAUGAUUGAACAGAGUCACGAUCAAGAACAAGUACCCCUUCCUCAGGAUUGAUGACAUCUUUGAUCAGUUGUAGGGUGUCCAGAUCUUUGCCAAAAUAAACUUGCAUUUGGGUUACUAUCAGGUAAAGAUUAGGGUAGAGGACAUUCCCAAUAUAGCGUUCAGAACUAUGUACGGAUACUAUGAGUUCCUGAUCAUGCAAUUUGGACUUAUCAUGCACUAACCAUUUUUAUGGAUUUGAUGGACAGGAUUUUCAGACAAUUCGUGGAUCAAUUCGUCAUUGUGUUUAUCGAUGAUAUCCUGGUAUAUUCAAAUAGCAGAGAGAAACACGUUCACCACUUAGGUUUUGCAAGUUCUUAAGGAGAAGAAACUGUAUGCAAAAUUGAGCAUGGGUUCUGGCUCGAGUAGACUACCUUUCUAAGGCACAUCAUAUCAAUGGAUAGAGUAUCAAUGAACCCCAAAAAAGUUGAGGCAGUACUUGGUUGAGAGAAAUUGACAUCGAUUAAGGAGAUUCGUAACUUUCUGUGAAUGACAGGAUAUUACCGUAUGUUUUUGGAAUGAUUCUCUAUCCUAGCUGCUCCUUUGACCCCCUAACAAAGAAGAAAUUAAGUUUGAAUAGAAUGAGAAUUGCAAAAUGAGCUUUAUAGAACUCAAGAAACGGUUGACUACUGCACCUGUGUUGGUUUUAUCGAGUGGGACAUGUGGAUAUACAGUAUAUAGUGAUACCUCCUACAUAGGGUUGUGUUGCAUUUUGAUGUAGCAUGAAAAUUUCAUAGCCUAUGAGUACAGACAGUUGAAGAGUCAUGAGAAAAAUUAUCUCACUCACGACUUAUAACUUACUACCAUUAUCUACGCCUUGAAGACCUGACGCCACUACUUGUAUGGAGAGAUUUUUGAGAUUUAUACUGAUCAUAAGAGCUUGAAGAACAUAUUCACUUAGAAUGAUCUCAACAUGCAUCAGAGGUAUUGGACAGAGCUCCUCAAGGACUACGAUUAUAAUAUUUUGUAUCACCCAGUCAAUGGCAACAUUGUAGCCGAUGCGCUCAGCAGAAAAAAUACAUGUAUGUCAGCUCACAUAAUGGUUUCUGAAUGCAGGGUAAUAGAGGUCGCACAACAUAUACAACUUCAGGACUUGAAGAGAGUUACAUGCUCGGCCCACCUAACUGUCCAACCUGAAUUAAUCCGAAAAAUAAAUAAAGUUCAAUUAACCGAUUCCACCAUAACAACUCUCAAGAAGGAUGCAGAAUAGGGAGUAAAUCCAGAAUUUUAAGUCUUUACCGAUGGGUUGCUUAGGUUUCAGGACAGGGUGUGUGUUCUAGAUAACAAUGAACUAAAAAGGGACAUCGUGACGAUGCUCAUAGCUCAAAUUUUAAGACAUGGUGUGUGUUCCAGAUAACAAUAAACUAAAAAAGGACAUCAUGACAGAGACUCAUAGCUCAAAGUUCACCAUACAUUCCGGAAUUACUAAAAUGUAUCAAAGUAUGUGACACCAGUUUUGGUGAAGUGGAAUGAAAAGAGAGAUAGUCGACUUUGUCUCCAAGUGUUUGCUAUAUCAACAGGUUAAGGUAGAGUAUCAACAGGUUAUUUCAGCCAUUAUGGAUCCUCGAGUGGAAGUGAAAACAUAUCACAAUUGAGUUCGUGACGGGGUUGCCCAAGGCACACUUGGGAUAUGAUGUUAUCUGGGUAAUUAUCGACCGCCUCAUCAAGUCCUCUUACUUUUUGGCUAUCAAAAUGACCGAUCCCUUAGACAAGUUAGCAAAAAUAUAUAUAUAGAAGAUAGUCAAGUUACUUGGAGUUCUAGUGACAGUGGUAUCCAAUAAAGACUCUAGAUUCACUUCUCAGUUUUGAUAUAGUUUUUAGUAAGUCAUGGGAACGAAGCUGUCCCUUAGUACCGCAUUCCACCCUCAAACCGAUGGACAAUCAGAGAGGACGAUCCAUACACUGGAGGAUAUGCUAUGAGCUUGCGUUCUGGACUUUGGGGGCCAUUUGGAUGAUCACCUAUCUUUAAUAGAGUUCGCCUACAAUAACAGCUACCAGACAAGUAUCGACAUGGCCCGAUACGAGGCAUGGUAUGACCAUUCUUGCAGGUCACUGAUCUGUUGGGAAAAGGUAGAUGAUAAGAAAUCGUUCGGUCCAGAUCUUGUAGAAGAGACUACAAUCAAGAUAGUUAAUAUCAGGAAGAACAUCCAUAGCUCAGAGUAGACAGAAGAGUUAUGCGGACACCCGGAGGAGGGAUUUGAAAUUUGAGAAAGGUAAUAGAGUAUUUAUUAAGGUCACCCCUUUCAAGAAAAUUAAUAAGUUUGGCAAGAUGGGAAAAUUAAAUCCCCAAUUCAUUGGGCCAUUUGAGAUCUUAGACAUGAUUGGUAUGACUGUCUACAGACUGACAUUACCUCCAGAACUAUUCAGGGUUCAUAAUGUAUUUUAUGUAUCUAUGCUAUGCAAGUACAACCGAGACCCGUCACACAUCUUAUCCCAUGAGCCUUUUUCACUCUAAAAGGAUCUAUCCUAUGAGAAGGUACCAAUGGUUAUUGUAGAUCAAAAAAGCAAAGUACUCCGCACUAAAAAAAUUUCUUUUGUCAAGGUCUUAUGGCAUAAUCACACACAGAAAAAGGCUACAUGGGAGUUAGAAUCGGACUUCAGAGCUCAUCCCCAACUGUUUAACUAAGUGAGAGGGUGACAAGUUUGAAGGACCAAAUUUUUUCUUAAGGGAGAGAGAGUUGUAAUACUUGGGCUCGAAAUUUAGCAUAGAAUCAAUUUUUGUCUUUAUAAAAAUAAAUAAAAACAUUAUUUUAAUUUUAUUUUAUUAAAUUAUUUGAGAAAAUGGGUUAUGAAUGUAAUUGAAAGUAAUUUUUGAGAAGAAUGGUGAAAAAUUGAGUUCGAUGGGUAUUUUUUUAAAAAAAAUUAGAAAUAAAGAGGGUCAAAAUGCACAAAAGGGAAAUUCAGCCACGUUGGAUGACCUAGUCAGCAGCCACGGUGAAUCAGAGCACGCUGAGUGGGAAAACACGCUGACAUCGGUGCGAUGCAGGAGGCCACGCGGGCGAUCCGCAUGCCCAGUGAUCCGAUGACCCAGAUUUAAUUCCAUGCGUGUUAACGGCUCAUAUGCAUUCCCUCCUGAGGUAUGAUCGGACGAAUGAGAUCAAUCGCGAUGAAUGACCCAGAUUCGCCCAUGUAAUUGUUCUAAAAAGACAAUGAUCGGACGACUNNNNNNNNNNNNNNNNNNNNNNNNNNNNNNNNNNNNNNNNNNNNNNNNNNNNNNNNNNNNNNNNNNNNNNNNNNNNNNNNNNNNNNNNNNNNNNNNNNNNNNNNNNNNNNNNNNNNNNNNNNNNNNNNNNNNNNNNNNNNNNNNNNNNNNNNNNNNNNNNNNNNNNNNNNNNNNNNNNNNNNNNNNNNNNNNNUCAAAUCUUGAUACUAGCUCCACGAGUAGAGAGAUCCCUGUGGACCCCCUAGAGGUCCCAGUAAGUAGGGUAAAAAGGACGGAUUGUUGAUCCUGUGCAUGAAAUUGAAAUAUAAUUUGUUUAAUUGUCUUCAUAUGUUGAUUUUGGAAAAAAAACCUUAACAGUAAAUAUCAAAUAAAAAGUUUUAAAGUUAAAUGUAUUUACUUAAAGUAAAGGCUCCAUUAGUUGUUUUCUAAUUUUUACCAAUAUUCGAUUUUUCGUAUAAGUGAUUAGUGUGUUAUUUUUAUUGAAGUAGUGUACAUCAUUCUUUCAUUAACCAUUUCAGAUCAAGAGAACCAAGAUCCAGAUUCCGAUCAGCAAGAAGGUUGUGACUAGUUAAUAUCCUGAACUCCUUUCAAGUGUUAGUGAAUGUUGUCAUAAAUACUUAUUUAUUCUUUUUUCAUUAAUUAUUAUUUAUCUUUUAUGAACUACGUAGAAGAGAUAUUCUUAUAGUCUUAUUGGACAAUUCAAUUUAUUGUGUAAGAAAUGUAAACCUUAACAUUAUUAUUCGCUGUCACAUUUAAAUUAUAAAUUUAUUUUCUUUUAAAUUCUAGAUCUUUACAAACAUACAUAAAAUACCAAGUAUUUAAGAAAAGUUUUAUUGAUAAUUUGAUAUAUUAAAAAUGAGAAAUUUUUUAAGAAAUGUAAAAUUAUAAAUAUAUUUCAUAUAAUUUUGAUAUAUUUAUUUAUUUCUCGUAUGCCAAUCUUUAUUGCCAAGCAAAUUGCUUUUAUAAUAUUUUUUCCCUUCACUGAUUGGGUAAAAAAGAGAUAUUCGUGAUAAGGUUGAGAAAAUCAAAUUUUAAUUUUUUUUUGUUUUUUUUUAUUAUAAAAAAGCAGUAUUUUUUUAAUCGUCAAUUAAUUUCCUAUUCCACUUUAUUUGCAAAUGGAACAAAAUGUUAUUAGGAAAAAAAAAAGGCUUAACUAAAUUAUAAGAAAAUCAAUUUAAUUAACUAAUUAAUCAAAUCACCUUAAUUUUAUUAUUAAAAUUUUAUUUAAUAUAAGAUAAUCUGCGAAUAAUGUAAACGCAUGAUCUAUCAAAUAUUUUAUUGACUAAGCUCACAUCCACUUGCUUAAUUAAAUUAAAAAAAUCAACUUAUUUUUUAUAAUUACCCUAAUUAUCAUAAAAAUACAUACUGAUUUCGUUAAUUAAUUAAAUUAUCUUAGUUUUAUUAUUAAAAUUUUAUUUAAUAUGAACUUUAUGCAAAUAAUACAAAAUAGUUGACUAGGCUGACAUUCACCAACUUAAUUAAAUUAUAAAAAAUCAAUUUUUUUUUUUUGUAAUUAUGCUAAUUCACAUUAAAAACACAUUGAUUUAAAUAAUUAAUCAAAUAAUCUUAAUUUUAUUAUUGAAAUUUUAUUUAAUACGCAAUUAAAUGACUUGACUAGGCUAACAUCCACGUGUUCACUCUUCGGCUUUCUCUUUCACCGUCAUGCCGUUUCUUCUAAAACUUAAAGACAAAAGGCAUUGAAAAACAAAGGAAAAAGAAAAAGAAAAAGCAUUUACUAGGCACGGUCUCUCUCUCUCUCUCUCUCUCUCUCUCUCUCUCUCUCUAUAAAUACACACAUGGCCAGUCUCUGGAUACGUACUACAAAGCUAGUCUUCCCUCACUUCCUCGUCCCUUCUCCUGUUUCUUCAACAUUUCAGACCCUCCGCAAGUAAAGAAAACAGAAGCAAAGAGCAUCGGAGAAAAUGUCGGAUAAUGAAAAUCAAGUUCCUGAGAUGAUCAACGGUGACUCCCACGACAUACGCUCCCUUCUUUCUUCUCCGGAGAGGGACUUUCUUGUUCGUAACAACGGUCAACAGGUGAUUGACUUCGUUGCUUGGGUCUGAGACUGGGAAGUUUUCUUUUCUUCUUUCUUUAGUUCUUUAGUAGCUCUAGUUUCUGUGAUCCAUGAAUUUUCUUUGCUCAAUAUGUGAUGUUGUACAAAGCAUGUAGGCUCUACAGGAUUGAUUAUCAGGGGAAGUUCACGUGAUCACAAUUAUCAUUUCUGAAUUUAAUUGAGAGUGGCUGCAAAAUAGGAUUGAUGUAUUUGUGGCAUGGGAGGAUGUUAAAACCAUUUCUAGAGAUUUUUCUUGUCAUUUGGUAAAUACCUGUCUGCUUAACUGUAACUUAGCAGGAAUUGCAGGUAAGCUCUAGUGUUAGGGAUUUUCAUAGUGGACGAUAAGUGGAUUUAGUUUGAUAUAUGGAGGGUAUAAUUGUGAUUAUCUAGGUUAUCUUUAGAACAAAUAAACUUGGUGUGGAAUUUAUUUGGAUAUUUUAAUUUAUUUUGACUGAGAAGGGGUGAGGGAUCUUUAGCCUUUCAUGGUGAAAAUAAGUAUAAGUUGCCAAAAGAAUUUUACAAACAAAAUUAAUUUGUCCCUAAAAGCGUUAACUUGCGUAAAAUUCAUUUUUGUGUAGGUGAACUGUAAACUGUAUUCAGUGAACUCGGUUAGAUGAUUUUUUGGGAAUGGAAUGAGUUCUAUUAAUUGACUCAAAAGUGUUUAUGGUUGGCCACAUGUCUCUUGUUAGAGGUAUGAAUGGAACGGAAAUCACAUACUAAAUUCCUAAUUUUACAGGUUAAAAUCGAUAGCCUGAAGGGGAAGAAACUUGGAUUAUACUUUUCUGCACAUUGGUGUGGCCCAUGUCAGCGUUUCACCCCUCGAUUGGUUGAGGUGUAUGAUGAACUCUUCCCAAAAGGUGAUCUUGAGGUUGUUUUUAUCUCUGCUGAUGAAGAUGAUCAUUCAUUCAAUGAAUACUUUUCUGUAAUGCCCUGGCUUGCUAUCCCAUUUAGUGAUUCAGACACACGUAACCGCUUGGAUGAAUUGUUCAAAGUGAGGGGAAUUCCCCACCUUGUAAUCCUUGAUGAAAAUGGGAAAGUUGUGAGUGAUGAUGGGGUGGGAAUCGUUCGAGAGUAUGGAGUGGAAGGGUUCCCUUUCACCCUGGAAAGAGUGAAAGAAUUAAAAGAGGAAGAAGAAAAAGCCAAAAGAGAGCAAUCUUUGCGGUCUCUCCUAGUAUCACAUUCACGGGACUUUGUAAUUUCACCUGAUGGAAGCAAGGUAUUUGUUAGCUAUGUUUCUAGUGAUUUAAAGUUACAAGUAAAAAUUUUGACUUUCAUAUUUAUUGUUCGUUCCAUAAUCUGACUUCUGCUAUUGAUGUGGAUAUAUUCAAGAUGGCUGUAUCCGAACUUGAAGGGAAGACGGUUGGUCUGUAUUUCUCAGUGUCUUCGUACAGACCAUGUAUUGAUUUUACCGCAGAACUUGUGGAGGUUUAUAAGAAACUAAAAGAAGAAGGAGAGAGCUUUGAGAUUGUGUUAAUAUCUCUGGAUGAUGAGGAAGAAUCAUUCAAACAAGCUUUUGAAAUCAUGCCUUGGUUUUCCUUGCCCUUCAAGGACAAAUUAUGCGAUAAGUUAAUUCGGUAUUUUGAGCUCUCAACCAUUCCCACUUUAGUUAUUAUUGGGCCUGAUGGAAAGACUGUUCAUUCCAAUGUUGCUGAGGUGAUUGAAGAGCAUG